UUUAUCAAUUAUAUGUCUGACACUUUCUCUUUCUUUUCCUUUAAUCAUAAUAUUCAAUAACAUUAUAGUUCUGAUUGGAUGUCCCAGUGCACUUGCACAUCCAUGUCCCUUCUGACUACAAACAUGAUAGCAUGAGUUCACAAUGUGGUCAAGUCACAGAUGAGUAAGUGCGGAUUAGGUUGAUUGAGCUCACAUUGGUGAAACUAGGGC
RNAcentral lists this long non-coding RNA (210 nucleotides) under Elaeis guineensis (African oil palm). RNAcentral's name for it is "long non-coding RNA (EGUI_LNC081360)". Lineage: Eukaryota; Viridiplantae; Streptophyta; Magnoliopsida; Arecales; Arecaceae. The record is from RNAcentral.